GACGAACGCUGGCGGCGUGCUUAACACAUGCAAGUCGAACGGAAAGGCCCUGCUUGCAGGGUACUCGAGUGGCGAACGGGUGAGUAACACGUGGGUGAUCUGCCCUGCACUUCGGGAUAAGCUUGGGAAACUGGGUCUAAUACCGGAUAGGACCGCACUUUAGUGUGUGUGGUGGAAAGUUUUUUCGGUGUAGGAUGAGCUCGCGGCCUAUCAGCUUGUUGGUGGGGUAAUGGCCUACCAAGGCGGCGACGGGUAGCCGGCCUGUGAGGGUGUACGGCCACAUUGGGACUGAGAUACGGCCCAGACUCCUACGGGAGGCAGCAGUGGGGAAUAUUGCACAAUGGGCGCAAGCCUGAUGCAGCGACGCCGCGUGGGGGAUGAAGGCCUUCGGGUUGUAAACUCCUUUCGCUAGGGACGAAGCUUUUUGUGACGGUACCUAGAUAAGAAGCACCGGCUAACUACGUG
Molecule: ribosomal RNA, 465 nt
Filed under: uncultured bacterium
Lineage: Bacteria
Description: partial 16S ribosomal RNA
Rfam family: Bacterial small subunit ribosomal RNA
Source: RNAcentral